This 2387-nucleotide ribosomal RNA is filed under the name Clostridioides difficile. RNAcentral's name for it is "bacterial LSU rRNA". It matches the Rfam family "Bacterial large subunit ribosomal RNA", at positions 447 to 2856 of the family's 2925-position model. Lineage: Bacteria; Bacillati; Bacillota; Clostridia; Peptostreptococcales; Peptostreptococcaceae. The record is from RNAcentral.
GAGGGACCACCCUCCAAGGCUAAAUACUACCUAGUGACCGAUAGCGUAUAGUACCGUGAGGGAAAGGUGAAAAGAACCCCGGGAGGGGAGUGAAAUAGAACCUGAAACCCUGCACUUACAAGCUGUGGAAGCACAUUUCUUGUGUGACCGCGUACUUUUUGUAGAACGGGCCAACGAGUUACGUUAAGUAGCAAGGUUAAGCACUUAAGGUGCGGAGCCGUAGCGAAAGCGAGUUUUAACUGAGCGUUCAGUUACUUGACGUAGACCCGAAACCGGGCGACCUACCCAUGAGCAGGAUGAAGCGAAAGUAAAAUUUCGUGGAGGUCCGAACCCACGAGCGUUGAAAAGCUCGGGGAUGACUUGUGGGUAGCGGUGAAAUUCCAAUCGAGCCCGGAGAUAGCUGGUUCUCCCCGAAAUAGCUUUAGGGCUAGCCUCAAGGUGAGAGAUACGGAGGUAGAGCACUGAAUGUCCUAGGGGGUAUUGCACCUACCGAAGACUAUCAAACUCCGAAUGCCGUCAUCUUAUACUUGGGAGUCAGACUGUGGGUGAUAAGAUUCAUAGUCGAAAGGGCAACAGCCCAGAUCGUCAGCUAAGGUCCCUAAAUGUAAGUUAAGUGGUAAAGGAUGUGGGAUUGCACAGACAACCAGGAUGUUGGCUUAGAAGCAGCCACUCAUUCAAAGAGUGCGUAAUAGCUCACUGGUCGAGUGAUCCUGCGCCGAAGAUUUCCGGGGCUAAAACUUACUACCGAAGCUACGGCAUCAGUAAUGAUGGGUAGGGGAGCUUCCCAUACGGGUUGAAGCAUGACCGUAAGGACAUGUGGACAGUAUGGGAGUGAGAAUGUUGGCAUGAGUAGCGAGAUGUGGGUGAGAAUCCCACAGGCCGUAAACCCAAGGUUUCCAGGGGAAGGUUCGUCCGCCCUGGGUUAGUCGGGACCUAAGCUGAGGCCGAAAGGCGUAGGUGAUGGACAACAGGUUGAUAUUCCUGUACUACCGAUAACCGUUUGAGAGAAGGGAUGACACAGUAGGAUAAGCUAAGCACACUGUUGGUUAUGUGUGCCCAAGCAUUGAGGCAGUCAAAGUAGGCAAAUCCGCUUUGAUAAUGCUGGGAUGUGAUGGGGAGCGAAAUUUAGUAGCGAAGUAGCUGAUUUCACACUGUCAAGAAAAGUCUCUAUCGAGGUUAAAGGUACCCGUACCGCAAACCGACACAGGUGGGUGAGGAGAGUAUCCUAAGGCCAGCGAGAGAACUGUUGUUAAGGAACUCGGCAAAAUGACCCCGUAACUUAGGGAUAAGGGGUGCCACCAUCAGGUGGCCGCAGAGAAUAGGCCCAAGCGACUGUUUACCAAAAACAUAGGUUUCUGCUAAGUCGCAAGACGAUGUAUAGGAGCUGACGCCUGCCCGGUGCUGGAAGGUUAAGGGGAUCUGUUAGAGCAAUCGAAGCAGUGAACUUAAGCCCCAGUAAACGGCGGCCGUAACUAUAACGGUCCUAAGGUAGCGAAAUUCCUUGUCGGGUAAGUUCCGACCCGCACGAAAGGCGUAACGAUUUGGGCACUGUCUCAACAACAGACUCGGUGAAAUUGUAAUUCCGGUGAAGAUGCCGGAUACCUGCGACAGGACGGAAAGACCCCAUGGAGCUUUACUGUAGCUUGACAUUGGGUCUUGGUACUACAUGUACAGGAUAGGUGGGAGGCUUUGAAACCAGGACGCCAGUUUUGGCGGAGCCAUCCUUGGGAUACCACCCUUGUAGUACUGGGACUCUAACCAUAGGCCAUGAAUCUGGUCUUGGGACACUGUCAGGUGGGCAGUUUGACUGGGGCGGUCGCCUCCCAAAAGGUAACGGAGGCGCUCAAAGGUUCUCUCAGUACGGUCGGAAAUCGUACGUAGAGUGUAAAGGCAAAAGAGAGCUUGAUUGCAAGACAUACAGGUCGAGCAAGGAUGAAAAUCGGACUUAGUGAUCCGGUGGUUCUGCGUGGAAGGGCCAUCGCUCAACGGAUAAAAGCUACCCUGGGGAUAACAGGCUUAUCUCCCCCAAGAGUCCACAUCGACGGGGAGGUUUGGCACCUCGAUGUCGGCUCAUCACAUCCUGGGGCUGUAGUAGGUCCCAAGGGUUGGGCUGUUCGCCCAUUAAAGUGGUACGCGAGCUGGGUUCAGAACGUCGUGAGACAGUUCGGUCCCUAUCCGUCGCAGGCGUAGGAAAUUUGAGAAGACCUGUCCUUAGUACGAGAGGACCGGGAUGGACGUACCUCUGGUGUACCAGUUGUCCUGCCAAGGGCAUGGCUGGGUAGCUAUGUACGGAAUGGAUAAGCGCUGAAAGCAUCUAAGCGCGAAGCCAACUUCAAGAUAAGAUUUCCCACCGCAAGGGUAAGACCCCAGAAAGACUAUCUGGUUGA